Molecule: ribosomal RNA, 253 nt
Filed under: uncultured bacterium
Lineage: Bacteria
Description: partial 16S ribosomal RNA
Rfam family: Bacterial small subunit ribosomal RNA
Source: RNAcentral
UACGUAGGGUGCAAGCGUUGUCCGGAAUUAUUGGGCGUAAAGAGCUCGUAGGCGGUCUGUCGCGUCGGAUGUGAAAAUCCAGGGCUCAACCCUGGACCUGCAUUCGAUACGGGCAGACUAGAGUUCGGUAGGGGAGACUGGAAUUCCUGGUGUAGCGGUGAAAUGCGUAGAUAUCUGGAGGAACACCGGUGGCGAAGGCGGCAUCCUGGACCGGCAUUGACGCUGAGGCGCGAAAGCCAGGGGAGCAAACGGG